AUCCUGGCUCAGAUUGAACGCUGGCGGAAUGCUUUACACAUGCAAGUCGAACGGCAGCACGGACUUCGGUCUGGUGGCGAGUGGCGAACGGGUGAGUAAUACAUCGGAACGUGCCCGGACGUGGGGGAUAACUACUCGAAAGAGUGGCUAAUACCGCAUACGAUCCAAGGAUGAAAGCGGGGGAUCGCAAGACCUCGCGCGUUUGGAGCGGCCGAUGGCAGAUUAGGUAGUUGGUGAGGUAAGGCUUACCAAGCCUGCGAUCUGUAGCUGGUCUGAGAGGAUGAUCAGCCACACUGGGACUGAGACACGGCCCAGACUCCUACGGGAGGCAGCAGUGGGGAAUUUUGGACAAUGGGCGAAAGCCUGAUCCAGCCAUUCCGCGUGCAGGAUGAAGGCCCUCGGGUUGUAAAACUGCUUUUGUACGGAACGAAAAGGCUCUUGCUAAUACCAGGAGUCCAUGACGGUACCGUAAGAAUAAGCACCGGCUAACUACGUGCCAGCAGCCGCG
This 508-nucleotide ribosomal RNA is filed under the name uncultured bacterium. RNAcentral describes it as "bacterial SSU rRNA". It matches the Rfam family "Bacterial small subunit ribosomal RNA", at positions 16 to 519 of the family's 1533-position model. The record is from RNAcentral.